UUAAAUGAUGAGGAGUCCUUCCAGA
Molecule: non-coding RNA, 25 nt
Filed under: Rattus norvegicus (Norway rat)
Lineage: Eukaryota; Metazoa; Chordata; Mammalia; Rodentia; Muridae
Source: RNAcentral